UACCAGCUCUCCGAGUUGUAGGGAUGAUUAUUGGGCUUAAAGCGUCCGUAGUUGGCUUAGCAAGUUUCCUGUUAAACCCAGCGACUCAAUCGUUGGUUCGCGGGAAAUACUACUAGGCUAGGAGGCGGGAGAGGUCAACGGUACUUCUGGGGUAGGGGUGAAAUCCUAUAAUCCCGGGAGGACCACCAGUGGCGAAGGCUGUUGACUAGAACGCGCUCGACGGUGAGGGACGAAAGCUGGGGGAGCGAACCGGAUUAGAUACCCGGGUAGUCCCAGCCGCAAACGAUGCGAGCUAGGUGUUGGGAUGGCUACGUGCCAUUUCAGUGCCGCAGGGAAGCCAUUAAGCUCGCCGCCUGGGGAGUACGGCCGCAAGGCUGAAACUUAAAGGAAUUGGCGGGGGAGCACCACAAGGCGUGAAGCUUGCGGUUC
This 429-nucleotide ribosomal RNA is filed under the name uncultured archaeon. RNAcentral describes it as "bacterial SSU rRNA". It matches the Rfam family "Archaeal small subunit ribosomal RNA", at positions 474 to 903 of the family's 1478-position model. The record is from RNAcentral.